This 138-nucleotide non-coding RNA is filed under the name Saccharothrix sp. Lineage: Bacteria; Bacillati; Actinomycetota; Actinomycetes; Pseudonocardiales; Pseudonocardiaceae. The record is from RNAcentral.
CCUGAUCGCUUUCCGGCCCGUAGGGUCCGCGCUACCGCCCGUGGGGGAAGUCCGGUCGAAACCCGGCGCUGACCCGCAACGGUAGGCCGAGCACCCCGCUCGGCGAGCCCGAUCACCCGUGGGCGGUGGGAAGUAGCU